GGGAAUGUGGCUUAGUGGUAGAGUGCUUGCCUAACAUGCAUGAAGCCUGGGUUCAAUUCCUCAGUACCA
This 69-nucleotide transfer RNA is filed under the name Dipodomys ordii (Ord's kangaroo rat). It matches the Rfam family "tRNA". From Rfam's summary of the family: Transfer RNA (tRNA) molecules are approximately 80 nucleotides in length. Their secondary structure includes four short double-helical elements and three loops (D, anti-codon, and T loops). Lineage: Eukaryota; Metazoa; Chordata; Mammalia; Rodentia; Heteromyidae. The record is from Rfam by way of RNAcentral.